CAACUUGAGAGUUUGAUCCUGGCUCAGAACGAACGCUGGCGGCAGGCCUAACACAUGCAAGUCGAGCGCACUUAUGACCUUCGGGUUAUAGGCGAGCGGCGGACGGGUUAGUAACGCGUGGGAACGUACCCUUUACUACGGAAUAGCCUUUGGAAACGAAGAGUAAUACCGUAUACGCCCUUUGGGGGAAAGAUUUAUCGGUAAAGGAUCGGCCCGCGUAAGAUUAGAUAGUUGGUGGGGUAAUGGCCUACCAAGUCUACGAUCUUUAGCUGGUUUGAGAGGAUGAUCAGCAACACUGGGACUGAGACACGGCCCAGACUCCUACGGGAGGCAGCAGUGGGGAAUCUUAGACAAUGG
RNAcentral lists this ribosomal RNA (357 nucleotides) under Paracoccaceae bacterium. RNAcentral's name for it is "bacterial SSU rRNA". It matches the Rfam family "Bacterial small subunit ribosomal RNA", at positions 1 to 374 of the family's 1533-position model. Lineage: Bacteria; Pseudomonadati; Pseudomonadota; Alphaproteobacteria; Rhodobacterales; Paracoccaceae. The record is from RNAcentral.